GGAGGUAUAGCUCAGGGGUAGAGUGCAUGCCUAGCAUGCAUCAAGGUCCUGGGUUCAAUCCCCAGUACCUCCU
Molecule: transfer RNA, 73 nt
Filed under: Camelus bactrianus (Bactrian camel)
Lineage: Eukaryota; Metazoa; Chordata; Mammalia; Artiodactyla; Camelidae
Also listed under: 2 other names
Rfam family: tRNA
About the family: Transfer RNA (tRNA) molecules are approximately 80 nucleotides in length. Their secondary structure includes four short double-helical elements and three loops (D, anti-codon, and T loops).
Source: Rfam by way of RNAcentral